GAGGUGACUCUUAGUUUUAACUCUUUCUCCUCCUAGUUGAUUUCAACCUUUUUUUUUUUUUUCCUAGAGAAAUCUUAGAACGCUGACCUGGGAACAGCAAGCGCUGCUGGCCCCUAAGUAGAAGGAAGAGUUUGGAAUGAUGGUGGUAUGUACAGCGGGAGAAAUCUUCAUUCUGCGGUUGUGGGUGCUCUGACGUAAACAGGUGUUCCUGCCAAGUGGUUAUUGGAGAAUGUUUCCUUUCGACUCUUCUUCAUCUCUUUUGUGGCUGAUCCCCUGUGGCACAUGGAGUUGGUUGUUUCCUGGUAGAUAUCUGAGGAGUAUCUUGUCCCACAGUCCCAUCCCUUCAAAGGGAAGGACAAACCCAAAGCUGCAGUGUGGUUUUGAAUGCCUGUUCUCGUGUUCUGCUUGCUUGCUGGGAGGAGAGGAGCGCACGUUCGCUGCAGCAGCAAUGCAAGAUUAGACAGCUGAAGAGAAAAGCCCAAUAAAGGGAUG
RNAcentral lists this long non-coding RNA (492 nucleotides) under Struthio camelus australis. RNAcentral's name for it is "lncRNA (ENSSCUG00000013214.1)". The record is from RNAcentral. Lineage: Eukaryota; Metazoa; Chordata; Aves; Struthioniformes; Struthionidae.